AGAAUUUUAAGUUAUUCAAACUUAAAGCCUUCAAAGCUUUCAAAAAAAGUGCCAACCCUUUUAAAUUCUA
This 70-nucleotide transfer RNA is filed under the name Macrophthalmus japonicus. Its description in RNAcentral is "tRNA-Trp". The record is from RNAcentral. Lineage: Eukaryota; Metazoa; Arthropoda; Malacostraca; Decapoda; Macrophthalmidae.